RNAcentral lists this non-coding RNA (111 nucleotides) under Ruminococcaceae bacterium CPB6. Its description in RNAcentral is "THF (Tetrahydrofolate) riboswitch aptamer". It matches the Rfam family "THF (Tetrahydrofolate) riboswitch aptamer". Rfam says of the family: THF riboswitch presents a pseudoknot that joins P1-P2 and the loop of P3 and two THF binding. The record is from Rfam by way of RNAcentral. Lineage: Bacteria; Bacillati; Bacillota; Clostridia; Eubacteriales; Oscillospiraceae. RNAcentral also lists the same sequence under 1 other name.
AGCAGAGUAGGAAUUUAUGCGUAAAGUGCCCGCCGAACGGGGAGUUGUCGGCAGGACGAAAAGCAGGGGCUGCAUCCCCCGCUUGCGGUAUAGGUUUUGCAUCCCGCUGCU